This 664-nucleotide long non-coding RNA is filed under the name Coturnix japonica (Japanese quail). RNAcentral's name for it is "lncRNA (ENSCJPG00005016870.1)". Lineage: Eukaryota; Metazoa; Chordata; Aves; Galliformes; Phasianidae. The record is from RNAcentral.
GGAACGCACAGUACUGGCUGCAGGACAACAUGCAAAGCCCUCUCCUAUGCUGGGCACCUCCUAUGUCUCCAGGGGUGUUUCUGAGCACCAUGUUGGGAUGUCUAACACAAGCAGCUCAGAGAGCUGUCCCUGAUGGCUGCCAGGAUGAGUAUUUCCAAUGCAUCCACCUGCGUGGUACCUGAGAUCACCUCUUCUGUUGGAGCAGGAUUCACUCAGCAUUUGCACCAUAAAGCUGCCCACAGCUGGAUGCUGCUCCCUGGCAAGAGGCUCAGCAUGGCUCAGGUUGCUGAGCAGAAGGGCAGUGCUGCUGACAGACACAUGCUGCUCGCAGGACAGUCAAAUUCACCUCCGUGACCCCCAGGGAUCCCCACAAGCUGAAUGGCUCAUUGCCACAGUGGCAUCCACCCAGAGAGGACAGGCAGAGAGAAGGAAGGGGAUCGGGCACUUGAGGCAGCUCCUGCUCACAGCCUGUACCUCCCCGCUCCNNCCGUGUGCUCCCCUCAUUGCUUGGACCAGGUCAGAGAAAUGAGAUCUCCCUGAAGUACCCCCCAGCCUUGGGCACAGGAAGAGGAACUGUCAAAUGAGGAAACAGGACAACUGGAAAAUAUUUAGAAACAUUUAUUUAAGGAAUAAACUUCUACAAUCUAUUUGCUAGGUACCUAAA